UACGUAGGGCGCAAGCGUUGUCCGGAAUUAUUGGGCGUAAAGAGCUCGUAGGUGGCUUGUUGCGUCUGCCGUGAAAGCCCGUGGCUUAACUGUGGGUCUGCGGUGGAUACGGGCAGGCUAGAGGCUGGUAGGGGCAAGCGGAAUUCCUGGUGUAGCGGUGAAAUGCGCAGAUAUCAGGAGGAACACCGGUGGCGAAGGCGGCUUGCUGGGCCAGUUCUGACGCUGAGGAGCGAAAGCGUGGGGGGCGAACAGG
This 253-nucleotide ribosomal RNA is filed under the name uncultured bacterium. Its description in RNAcentral is "partial 16S ribosomal RNA". It matches the Rfam family "Bacterial small subunit ribosomal RNA", at positions 524 to 776 of the family's 1533-position model. The record is from RNAcentral.